Molecule: unclassified non-coding RNA, 329 nt
Filed under: soil metagenome
Description: partial contains 5.8S ribosomal RNA, internal transcribed spacer 2, and large subunit ribosomal RNA
Rfam family: 5.8S ribosomal RNA (bases 1-120)
Source: RNAcentral
GAUGAAGAACGUAGCGAAAUGCGAUAAGUAAUGUGAAUUGCAGAAUUCAGUGAAUCAUCGAAUCUUUGAACGCACAUUGCGCCCUUUGGUAUUCCGAGGGGCAUGCCUGUUCGAGCGUCAUUAUAACCCCUCAAGCUCAGCUUGGUGUUGGGGCCUGCUGCACUGGCAGCCCUUAAAAUCAGUGGCGGCGCCAUCUGGCUCUAAGCGUAGUAAUUCUUCUCGCUAUGGAGUCCUGGUGGAUGCUUGCCAUCAACCCCCAAUUUUUCUAUGGUUGACCUCGGAUCAGGUAGGGAUACCCGCUGAACUUAAGCAUAUCAAUAAGCGGAGGA